UUAAGCGACUAAGCGUACACGGUGGAUGCCCUGGCAGUCAGAGGCGAUGAAGGACGUGCUAAUCUGCGAUAAGCGUCGGUAAGGUGAUAUGAACCGUUAUAACCGGCGAUUUCCGAAUGGGGAAACCCAGUGUGUUUCGACACACUAUCAUUAACUGAAUCCAUAGGUUAAUGAGGCGAACCGGGGGAACUGAAACAUCUAAGUACCCCGAGGAAAAGAAAUCAACCGAGAUUCCCCCAGUAGCGGCGAGCGAACGGGGAGGAGCCCAGAGCCUGAAUCAGUGUGUGUGUUAGUGGAAGCGUCUGGAAAGGCGCGCGAUACAGGGUGACAGCCCCGUACACAAAAAUGCACAUACUGUGAGCUCGAUGAGUAGGGCGGGACACGUGGUAUCCUGUCUGAAUAUGGGGGGACCAUCCUCCAAGGCUAAAUACUCCUGACUGACCGAUAGUGAACCAGUACCGUGAGGGAAAGGCGAAAAGAACCCCGGCGAGGGGAGUGAAAAAGAACCUGAAACCGUGUACGUACAAGCAGUGGGAGCCUCUUUUAUGGGGUGACUGCGUACCUUUUGUAUAAUGGGUCAGCGACUUAUAUUCUGUAGCAAGGUUAACCGAAUAGGGGAGCCGAAGGGAAACCGAGUCUUAACUGGGCGUUAAGUUGCAGGGUAUAGACCCGAAACCCGGUGAUCUAGCCAUGGGCAGGUUGAAGGUUGGGUAACACUAACUGGAGGACCGAACCGACUAAUGUUGAAAAAUUAGCGGAUGACUUGUGGCUGGGGGUGAAAGGCCAAUCAAACCGGGAGAUAGCUGGUUCUCCCCGAAAGCUAUUUAGGUAGCGCCUCGUGAAUUCAUCUCCGGGGGUAGAGCACUGUUUCGGCAAGGGGGUCAUCCCGACUUACCAACCCGAUGCAAACUGCGAAUACCGGAGAAUGUUAUCACGGGAGACACACGGCGGGUGCUAACGUCCGUCGUGAAGAGGGAAACAACCCAGACCGCCAGCUAAGGUCCCAAAGUCAUGGUUAAGUGGGAAACGAUGUGGGAAGGCCCAGACAGCCAGGAUGUUGGCUUAGAAGCAGCCAUCAUUUAAAGAAAGCGUAAUAGCUCACUGGUCGAGUCGGCCUGCGCGGAAGAUGUAACGGGGCUAAACCAUGCACCGAAGCUGCGGCAGCGACGCUUAUGCGUUGUUGGGUAGGGGAGCGUUCUGUAAGCCUGUGAAGGUGUACUGUGAGGUAUGCUGGAGGUAUCAGAAGUGCGAAUGCUGACAUAAGUAACGAUAAAGCGGGUGAAAAGCCCGCUCGCCGGAAGACCAAGGGUUCCUGUCCAACGUUAAUCGGGGCAGGGUGAGUCGACCCCUAAGGCGAGGCCGAAAGGCGUAGUCGAUGGGAAACAGGUUAAUAUUCCUGUACUUGGUGUUACUGCGAAGGGGGGACGGAGAAGGCUAUGUUGGCCGGGCGACGGUUGUCCCGGUUUAAGCGUGUAGGCUGGUUUUCCAGGCAAAUCCGGAAAAUCAAGGCUGAGGCGUGAUGACGAGGCACUACGGUGCUGAAGCAACAAAUGCCCUGCUUCCAGGAAAAGCCUCUAAGCAUCAGGUAACAUCAAAUCGUACCCCAAACCGACACAGGUGGUCAGGUAGAGAAUACCAAGGCGCUUGAGAGAACUCGGGUGAAGGAACUAGGCAAAAUGGUGCCGUAACUUCGGGAGAAGGCACGCUGAUAUGUAGGUGAAGCGACUUGCUCGUGGAGCUGAAAUCAGUCGAAGAUACCAGCUGGCUGCAACUGUUUAUUAAAAACACAGCACUGUGCAAACACGAAAGUGGACGUAUACGGUGUGACGCCUGCCCGGUGCCGGAAGGUUAAUUGAUGGGGUUAGCGGUAACGCGAAGCUCUUGAUCGAAGCCCCGGUAAACGGCGGCCGUAACUAUAACGGUCCUAAGGUAGCGAAAUUCCUUGUCGGGUAAGUUCCGACCUGCACGAAUGGCGUAAUGAUGGCCAGGCUGUCUCCACCCGAGACUCAGUGAAAUUGAACUCGCUGUGAAGAUGCAGUGUACCCGCGGCAAGACGGAAAGACCCCGUGAACCUUUACUAUAGCUUGACACUGAACAUUGAGCCUUGAUGUGUAGGAUAGGUGGGAGGCUUUGAAGUGUGGACGCCAGUCUGCAUGGAGCCG
This 2162-nucleotide ribosomal RNA is filed under the name Escherichia coli. RNAcentral's name for it is "bacterial LSU rRNA". It matches the Rfam family "Bacterial large subunit ribosomal RNA", at positions 1 to 2188 of the family's 2925-position model. The record is from RNAcentral. Lineage: Bacteria; Pseudomonadati; Pseudomonadota; Gammaproteobacteria; Enterobacterales; Enterobacteriaceae.